CCCUUAGAUGUUCUGGGCUGCACGCGCGCUACACUGAUGCACUCAACGAGUUUACGACCUUGCCCGAUAGGGUUGGGUAAUCUUUUUAAAAUGCAUCGUGAUGGGGAUAGAUUAUUGCAAUUAUUAAUCUUCAACGAGGAAUUCCUAGUAAGCGCGAGUCAUCAGCUCGUGCUGAUUACGUCCCUGCCCUUUGUACAAACCGCCCGUCGCUCCUACCGAUUGAGUGCUCAGGUGAAUAAUUCGGACUGCAGCAAUGUUUGGAUCCCGAACGUUGCAGCGGAAAGUUUAGUGAACCUUAUCACUUAGAGGAAGGAGAAGUCGUAACA
Molecule: ribosomal RNA, 326 nt
Filed under: uncultured eukaryote
Lineage: Eukaryota
Description: partial 18S ribosomal RNA
Rfam family: Eukaryotic small subunit ribosomal RNA
Source: RNAcentral